This 251-nucleotide ribosomal RNA is filed under the name uncultured bacterium. RNAcentral's name for it is "partial 16S ribosomal RNA". It matches the Rfam family "Bacterial small subunit ribosomal RNA", at positions 524 to 776 of the family's 1533-position model. The record is from RNAcentral.
UACGAAGGGGCUAGCGUUGCUCGGAAUUACUGGGCGUAAAGCGCACGUAGGCGGCUUUCUAAGUCGGGGUGAAAUCCUGGAGCUCAACUCCAGAACUGCCUUCGAUACUGGAGAGCUCGAGUCCGGGAGAGGUGAGUGGAACUGCGAGUGUAGAGGUGAAAUUCGUAGAUAUUCGCAAGAACACCAGUGGCGAAGGCGGCUCACUGGCCCGAUACUGACGCUGAGGCACGAAAGCGUGGGAGCGAGUCCGG